Myotis myotis is the source of this 1322-nucleotide long non-coding RNA. RefSeq lists it as uncharacterized. NCBI's taxonomy places the organism in Eukaryota, Metazoa, Chordata, Mammalia, Chiroptera, Vespertilionidae. The record is from RefSeq and is a predicted model, not a curated record. The transcript is spliced from 5 exons.
AUGGUCGUACCGGAAAAGGAAAAAAUGACGUGCCCAGGAGAGAGGAUCUUAACUUUAAAAACAUUGCUUUUUUUCUAGACCCCGUUCCUUCGGAUCAGACCCUUUCUGGGAGGUUUUUCUAUUUUUCGAUUUCUUUUUUAUUGUAUUUAUUGGGGUGACAUACAGCGCAGACCACCUCUAGCUGCGGGGAGUUCCCUGUUUAAGCGCACAGGUCCCGCAGGUCCGGGGGCCAAAGCGCGCAGUCCGCCCGGUACCGGCGCGGGCGCGGGGGGCGGGCGAGGGCGUUGCGCACGGUCACCGUCUCCGACUGCAAGUUAUGAGCUGUGGUAACCGCACCAGCUUCCUCCACCCGACGGCAACCCCCGCCAGAGAAAGUGUGAAACGCGGCGUCGUGCAAACUUGACCCAGAAUCAAGCCCGGGAGUGACGGCGAUGAGGAAUAUUGGCACUCUCUUCUCUCACUUUGGAAUCUUGGAUUUGAAGUUAAGAAGGGACAAGUGCUACAACCCCUAGAUGAUUGGGAACAGGCUGGAAGGCAAACGAUCCCAUCCAAGACACCACAUCAAAUUUAAUCAUCACACUAUGUUUGGGUGUUAACCAGACCCACUGAACAGUGAACCAGUGCAAAAUGAUGGCACUCUGGCUGCUGCUGUUGCUCUUAAGCAUCCUGGAAUACAUUCUCUAAGAUCUCUUUACCACCAAAGAUGCAAAUUAAGACCAGCAGGCAGCUGAUAUUUACUGGAAAAAAGCAAUGAGCAGAACCACAGGAACGCCGGCUGAGUGGAAGUCCUACAACUAGGAGGAAAGAGAAACGCAUACGGACACUCAGAGGAGGCACAGUGCUGAAGUCAAAUUCUGAGAAAUAAAAAAAUGGAAUGACCAAGUUCAAGGGAGGGGCAUGUUUAUGGAACUACGACACUUAGUACUCAUUGUACGCUUAUCUUCCCACCAGGGCUAUAUGACCAGUUUUACUACAGCUACUCCCGGAUAUUCAAGUUUAUUUUUUCGUCUCUGGUGGGUAUAAAAUGGCAUACUGUGAGAUUGCUUUGUGCUUAAUUAAUAGUAAGGAGGAGUGCUAUAAUAUGUGAAUUGUCUACUAUUUGUUCAUUGUUCUUUUUUUUUUGUUGUUCUUUUUUUGUUCAUUGUUCUUAUCCACUUUACUUAAAUGUAAUGUAUUCAUAACAAAUUUAAAUGGGCCCUUUGCAUAUCACAGAUGUUAUUCCUAUCAUAUGUGAUUCAAAAAGCUGUAAUUAUUACCCUUUAAAUGUUUUUAUCAUCAUACAAAGAAUUUUAAAUGUUAGACAUUAAAAUGUCAAACUUCUA